CAGCCGCCGCGGUAAUACGGAGGGUGCAAGCAUUAAUCGGAAUUACUGGGCGUAAAGCGCACGCAGGCGGUUUGUUAAGUCAGAUGUGAAAUCCCCGAGCUUAACUUGGGAACUGCAUUUGAAACUGGCAAGCUAGAGUCUUGUAGAGGGGGGUAGAAUUCCAGGUGUAGCGGUGAAAUGCGUAGAGAUCUGGAGGAAUACCGGUGGCGAAGGCGGCCCCCUGGACAAAGACUGACGCUCAGGUGCGAAAGCGUGGGGAGCAAACAGGAUUAGAUACCCCGGUAGUCCCUGUCUCUUAUAC
This 301-nucleotide ribosomal RNA is filed under the name uncultured bacterium. RNAcentral's name for it is "partial 16S ribosomal RNA". It matches the Rfam family "Bacterial small subunit ribosomal RNA", at positions 509 to 807 of the family's 1533-position model. The record is from RNAcentral.